AAUGCUGAUGCCAGGACCUUGUCCUGCCAGGAAGCCUCUGAUUAGGGCCCUGAACCAACUUCCUUUUCACAACUGCAAGGACACUUGGAGGCAACCACCCAAGGCCGCUCUGAGAAGGGUUGAAUGUUCUUUAUUAAAAGGACUGAGGAUCAUGUGUGUUGGUGGGUCUUGGACUCUGCUCUAAGACACAUGGAGGCAACCACUCAAGGCCACUCUGAGGAGGGUUGAACGUGCUUUAUUAAAAGGACUGAGGAUCAUGUGUGUUGGUGUGUCCUGGACUCUGCUCUAAGACAUAUGGAGGCAACCACUCAAGGCCACUCUGAGGAGGGUUGAACGUGCUUUAUUAAAAGGACUGAGGAUCAUGUGUGUUGAUGUGUCCUGGACUCUGCUUUAAGAGCUGCAUCGGGGCUUGGAUCAAUGCCUGAAUCCAGUGUUCCUGAGUGCACAGCAUCUUUGCUCUGGGUGAGCUUUGACCAUCCUGGGGAAGAAGGCUGCUGCAGGGGUGGGACAAAGCCAAGACCAAUGCCCAGCAGCCAAGGCCAGCCAGAUGGCUCUGUGCUGGCAGCCAGCGUACACGGAUUUUACCUGAAGGAAAAUGUCACGUUUUCCACAGACAACUGAAGAAGAAGAGCUCUUUGGAUUACCCUAAUCGUGAUUUACUCAUUGGAACCACUGUCUUGGAUUGUCCAAAAUUAAGUCUCAAAGCUUAAAUAUGAGGCUUCAAGGAGUUAUCCUGAAAUCAGUGCUUGAUAUCGUCUUGUUUUUUGCUUGUUUUUUAAAACCUUAAUUCUCAUAGUUUUCUGUCAUAUUUCUCAGUGCCUGGUACAUUGUCACCAUUAAUCCAUGCCAGUUAUGUAUAGUUUUGCAUGUUUGUUUUUUAUUUUACUCUUUUCUCUCCUUCGUUCCCUAUUCCUGUUCUCCCAUAGGUGCCCAGUCUAAUGUAUUUGAUAUCUGUCCUUAGAGCCUCCGUAUCUGUGAAGACUAGAGUCACGCACCUCAUCACAUUUCAGUAAGAUGGGCCACAUGUACCACAGUCCCAUAAGAUGAUAGAGGUGCAGAAAAAUUCCUGUCACCUAGUGACGUCGUAGCCAUCAUAACAUCACAACACAUGACUCUCAUUUGUGGUGACCCUGGUGUAAACAAACCUACUGUACUGCCAGUUGUAUAAAAGUCUAGCACAUCCAGUUAUGCACAGUACAUACUUGGAAAUGAUAAUAAAUGACCAUGUUACUGGUUUAUGUAAUUACUAUAUUAUACUUUUUAUCAUUAUUUUAGAGUGUACAACUUAAAAAAAAAAAAGUUAACUGUAAAACAGCCUCAGGCAGGCCCUUCAGUAGGAAUUCCAGAAGAAGGCACUGUUGUCCUAGGAGAUGACAGCUCCGUGUGUGUUACUGCCCCUGAUGAACCUCUAUGGGUACAGGAUGUGGAGCUGGACCACAGUGAUAUUGAAGAUCUCAACCCUGUAGGUCUAGGUUAAUGUGUGGCUGUGUCUUGGUUUUUAGCAAAAAUGUUUUAAAAGUAAAAAUGUUAAAAAUAGCAAACAGUUUAUAGAAUAAGGAUAUAAAGAAAAUAUUUUGUACAGCUGUAUAAUGUGUUUUUUGUUGUUGUUUUUCUUUUUUUUUUUUUUUUUGAGACAGAGUCUCGCUCUGUCGCCCAGCUGGAGUGCAGUGGUGUGAUCUCGGCUCACUGCAACCUCUGCCUUCUGGGUUCAAGCGACUCUUCUGCUUCAGCCUCCUGAGUGGCUGGGACUACUGGCAUGUGCCACCACACCUGGCUAAUUUUUGUAUUUUUCGUGGAGACAGGGUUUCACCAUCUUGGCCAGGCUGGUCUUGAACUCCUGACCUCGUGAUCCAACCCAUCCAUUUUGGCCUCCCAAAAUGGUGGGGUUACAGGCAUGAACCACAGUGCCUGGCCUGUUUGUGUUUUAAGCUAAGUGUUAUUAGGAGUCAAAAAGUUAAAAAAUAAAAGUUGCUGAAGUAAAGUUACAGUCAGCAAAAGCUAAUUUACUAGUGAAGAAAGAAAUGUAUGUUUUGAUCAAUUUAGUGUAGCCUAAGUGUCCAGUGUUUAUAGUCUACAGGAGUGUACAGGAACGUCCUAGGUCUUCACAUCCUCUCACCACUCACUCAUUGACUCACUCACCCAGAGAAGCUUCCAGACCUGCAAGCUCCAUUCAUGGUAAGUUCCCUGUACAGGUGUUACAGUACUUAAACUCUUAUAUCCUAUUUUUACUGUAGGUUGUCUCUGUCUAGAUAUAUUUGGAUACACAAAUACUUAUCAAUGUGUUACAGUUGCCUGUAGCACUCAGUACAGUAACAUGCUGCACAGCUUUGUAACCUAGAAGCAACAGGCUACACCAUAUAGCCUCUGUGUAGCAGGCUGUGCCAUCUGGGUUUGUGUUCUACAACGUUGCAUUCUACAAUGUUCCCACAAGGAUGAAAUCACCUAAGGACACAUUUCUCAGAAUGCUUCCUCGUUGUCAAGCAAUGCAUGACUGUAUAUAGAAUUGUUCAUAAAUACUGUGUUUUUCAUCCAUGUAAAUGGCGUGCCAUUUCUACCUAUCCACGUCUGCUCACCAGCUCAUGCCCUUCGUUCAUGCUCCUUUCCAUCCAUCCAUUCCCCUAAACAUGGGCAUGUUGCUAUCAGCAGGGAGCUGUGAUGGACCCCUCACAAGGUCCUCUUAUUCCUCGUGUAAGCCUUUCCCUGGGAAUGUCCUCCCAGCAUUGCUGGUCAGGGAGAACACACACUCACAUCUUCCCUAAAUGCUACCAGUGCUAUGGUGUUAUCAGGAACUUUAUUUAUUUUUUGCCAAUAUGAUACCUAUCAAGCUACCCCAUCUCUACUAAAAAUACAAAAUUAGGCCUUUAGUAGAAACUCCGUCUCUAGUAAAAAUACAAAAAUUAGCUGCACAUGGUGCCGCGCACCUGUAAUACCAGCUACUUGGUGGCUGAGGCAGGAGAAUUGCUUGAACCCAAGAGGCAGAAGCUGCAGUGAGCCAAGAUCGCACCACUGCACUCUAGCCUGGGCAACAGAGAACCUGUCUUACAAACAAAAACAAAAAAAACGGCACAGGUCUGAUUAUUAGGAAGCUGAGGUCCUUUUUUAUACUUAGUAUUCACUGAAGAGUGAAUUACCCUUUCAUGUCCUCUAAACAUACCAACAAGAAGGCUGGAGUUAGAACUUAUGUUAGAGCCAGCCUGCCUGGGGCACAGCCUGGCCCUGCCGUUUAUUGACCGUGUGACCUUGAGCAAGCUUCCUCAUGUAACUCUAUCUUAGCUUCCCUGCCUGUAAUAGGUAAAAACAGCAACUACCUCAUAGAUUUGUAAAGAUUAAAUAAAAUAAUACAUACAGUGCCUGGCAAAUGACAGUCAACGAAUGUUAUUAUUAUUUUAACUAUUGCCAUAUUAUAAAUAUAAAUAAAUAUAAAUGAUAUAAACAAAUUAUAAUAAUAGUAAUUAUUCAUUUCGUCUUGACUUGAAUGAGUUCCUUGUGUAUUUUAGACAUUUAUCCUUUGUGAAUUUGGGAUGGUAUAAAUAUCUUAGGCAAGUCUAUUAUCUGUCUACCAACUAUCUCAAAUAUCUUUUCAUUAAAUAUAAAUUCUU
This 3599-nucleotide non-coding RNA is filed under the name Pongo abelii (Sumatran orangutan). Lineage: Eukaryota; Metazoa; Chordata; Mammalia; Primates; Hominidae. The record is from RNAcentral.